Hordeum vulgare subsp. vulgare (domesticated barley) is the source of this 136-nucleotide non-coding RNA. The record is from Rfam. Lineage: Eukaryota; Viridiplantae; Streptophyta; Magnoliopsida; Poales; Poaceae.
GUAGUACUUUCUGUGUCCCAAAAAUUUUGUCUUAGAUUUAUUUAAAAAUAAAUGUAUCAAAAUAUUAAAACGUGACUAGAUACAUUCAUAUCUAAACAAAUCUAAGACAAAAAAUUUGGGACAAAGGAAGUAUAUU